Molecule: ribosomal RNA, 488 nt
Filed under: uncultured Prevotella sp.
Lineage: Bacteria; Pseudomonadati; Bacteroidota; Bacteroidia; Bacteroidales; Prevotellaceae
Description: partial 16S ribosomal RNA
Source: RNAcentral
CACGGAAUUAGCCGGUCCUUAUUCAUACGGUACCUGCAAAGGAGAACACGCUCACCCUUUUAUCCCCGUAUAAAAGCAGUUUACAACCCAUAGGGCCGUCAUCCUGCACGCUACUUGGCUGGUUCAGGCUCACGCCCAUUGACCAAUAUUCCUCACUGCUGCCUCCCGUAGGAGUUUGGACCGUGUCUCAGUUCCAAUGUGGGGGACCUUCCUCUCAGAACCCCUACUGAUCGUUGCCUCGGUGAGCCAUUACCUCACCGACAAGCCUAAUCAGACGCAUCCCCAUCCAUCACCAAUUAAUCUUUCAUCCAAAUUAGAUGCCUGCUUCGGAUGACAUAAGGUCUUAGGCCGACUUUCGACGGUUAUCCCUUAGUCAUGGGGUAGGUUGGAUACGCGUUACUCACCGUGCGCCGGUCGCCAUCAACGAUUGCAAGCAAUCAUCAUGCUGCCCCUGACUUGCAUGUGUUAGGCCUGUAGCUAGCGUUCAU